AUGCACAGAGGAAGAGAACGAACUUCAUAUAUCCCUUUUUUACUCAAUCAGGAAACAAGAUCGGACGUGAUUCCGGUUCGUCUCCAUUUUAGUGACACUCUUCCUCAAGCAAGGCAGCCGAUAAGUCAUCGAAGGGUUUGUUUGAAUAAUGGACUGGUAACCAUUACUCAUUUGAAAGUUUCCCACGGUGAUCUAAUAUCUUUAAAGAAAAUGAUGCGAGAACCCGCGGUUUUGAAAUAA
Molecule: ribosomal RNA, 240 nt
Filed under: Triticum aestivum (bread wheat)
Lineage: Eukaryota; Viridiplantae; Streptophyta; Magnoliopsida; Poales; Poaceae
Description: partial small subunit ribosomal RNA
Source: RNAcentral